RNAcentral lists this unclassified non-coding RNA (337 nucleotides) under Fagaropsis sp. Burge 3059. Its description in RNAcentral is "partial external transcribed spacer". Lineage: Eukaryota; Viridiplantae; Streptophyta; Magnoliopsida; Sapindales; Rutaceae. The record is from RNAcentral.
CCUGUGUUGCUUACCCACGGAAAGGAAUUCGACGGUUUUGCUGUCCCCAUCCGCCUUGAGCCCUUCGGGGUGCGGGGUGGACGUGAGGCGGGCUCCGUGUUCCCGGCGUGUCUAGCGCUCUGACGCUCGGCCGCCGCGGCCCAUGGGGUCUCCGCCCGUGCUCUCGGAUGCGGAAUGCUACGUGUGGGCGUGAGGUCUCGACCUCUGCUCGUCCAAGCUACACGCAUUGUCCCUUGACGCGAACGACCGCCGUGCCCGUCUUGAUCGGCCGACCGGGCUCCCGCAGCGGGGCUUCGGGAGGGCGGCUCAUGCGGGCGUCGGCGUCGAAGAGGAAUGC